Molecule: transfer RNA, 71 nt
Filed under: Bos taurus (domestic cattle)
Lineage: Eukaryota; Metazoa; Chordata; Mammalia; Artiodactyla; Bovidae
Also listed under: 3 other names
Rfam family: tRNA
About the family: Transfer RNA (tRNA) molecules are approximately 80 nucleotides in length. Their secondary structure includes four short double-helical elements and three loops (D, anti-codon, and T loops).
Source: Rfam by way of RNAcentral
UCCCAGGCGGCUCAAGUGGUAAAGAAUCUGCCUGUAAUGCAGGAGACCUGGGUUCGAUCCCUGGCUGGGAA